This 181-nucleotide ribosomal RNA is filed under the name Streptomyces albidoflavus. RNAcentral describes it as "partial 16S ribosomal RNA". It matches the Rfam family "Bacterial small subunit ribosomal RNA", at positions 1364 to 1533 of the family's 1533-position model. Lineage: Bacteria; Bacillati; Actinomycetota; Actinomycetes; Kitasatosporales; Streptomycetaceae. The record is from RNAcentral.
GAAUACGUUCCCGGGCCUUGUACACACCGCCCGUCACGUCACGAAAGUCGGUAACACCCGAAGCCGGUGGCCCAACCCCUUGUGGGAGGGAGCUGUCGAAGGUGGGACUGGCGAUUGGGACGAAGUCGUAACAAGGUAGCCGUACCGGAAGGUGCGGCUGGAUCACCUCCUUUCUAAGGAG